RNAcentral lists this ribosomal RNA (484 nucleotides) under uncultured bacterium. Its description in RNAcentral is "partial 16S ribosomal RNA". It matches the Rfam family "Bacterial small subunit ribosomal RNA", at positions 30 to 507 of the family's 1533-position model. The record is from RNAcentral.
AUUGAACGCUGGCGGCAGGCCUAACACAUGCAAGUCGAGCGGAUGAAGGGAGCUUGCUCCUGGAUUCAGCGGCGGACGGGUGAGUAAUGCCUAGGAAUCUGCCUGGUAGUGGGGGAUAACGUCCGGAAACGGGCGCUAAUACCGCAUACGUCCUGAGGGAGAAAGUGGGGGAUCUUCAGACCUCACGCUAUCAGCUGAGCCUACGACGGAUUAGCUAGUUGGUGGGGUAAAGGCCUACCAAGGCGACGAACCGUAACUGAUCUGAGAGGCUGACCAGUCACACUGGAACUGAGACACGGUCCAGACUCCUACGGGAGGCAGCAGUGGGGAAUAUUGGACAAUGGGCGAAAGCCUGAUCCAGCCAUGCCGCGUGAGUGAAGAAGGUCUUCGGAUUGUAAAGCACUUUAAGUUGGGAGGAAGAACAGUAAGUUAAUACCUUGCUGUUUUGACGUUACCAACAGAAUAAGCACCGGCUAACUUCGUG